Small nucleolar RNA from Bufo bufo (common toad), 130 nucleotides. Lineage: Eukaryota; Metazoa; Chordata; Amphibia; Anura; Bufonidae. The record is from RefSeq and is a predicted model, not a curated record.
CCGCACUGUUAAGUGUCUCCUUAGUCUUCUCCUUGGCUCUGGGGUCUCAUUCCGGUGCAAGAACAAAUCCCUUCUAGCAGAAAGGCCGGGCCCCGCGCUGACCUGUUCUUUCUGAGAGUUGGGUACAAAC